This 289-nucleotide ribosomal RNA is filed under the name uncultured bacterium. RNAcentral's name for it is "partial 16S ribosomal RNA". It matches the Rfam family "Bacterial small subunit ribosomal RNA", at positions 773 to 1060 of the family's 1533-position model. The record is from RNAcentral.
GUGGAUUAGAUACCCUGGUAGUCCACGCCCUAAACGAUGCGAACUGGAUGUUGGGCUCAACUUGGAGCUCAGUAUCGAAGCUAACGCGUUAAGUUCGCCGCCUGGGGAGUACGGUCGCAAGACUGAAACUCAAAGGAAUUGACGGGGGCCCGCACAAGCGGUGGAGUAUGUGGUUUAAUUCGAUGCAACGCGAAGAACCUUACCUGGCCUUGACAUGCACUGAACUUUCCAGAGAUGGAUUGGUGCCUUCGGGAACCGUGACACAGGUGCUGCAUGGUUGUCGUCAGCU